Molecule: long non-coding RNA, 3141 nt
Organism: Notolabrus celidotus (New Zealand spotty)
Lineage: Eukaryota; Metazoa; Chordata; Actinopteri; Labriformes; Labridae
Exons: 2
Source: RefSeq, a predicted model, not a curated record
UCCAGCGUCUUAUCAUGUGUCCCGUGAUAACGGCCCUUGUAGGAGCCCCCGACUGUGUAGCAAUUGUUCGAGGAUCUAAAUGGAAUCCUGAUAAAUCAAGUAUGUGAGAAGGAUAACAGGUAGACUGUGUCUGCACUGACCUACGCUGAUAAAAUGCAGACUUAUCUUGAAUGUUUAUAUCCCCAACUGUCUCUAUACAGACAAUAGCACACCAGCUAAUACAACCCUCACUUGAACAGAAUUGAUCUAGUACUAAAUCAAUGGAUAGCUGCGAAAAUGUGAAAAAGAGAUGAAGAGAAAACCAAUGUCUGAGCCUUGAGGGCCAAGAUGCACAACAUCACACCAGACUCUUAUCUGUGGACACGUCUUUCCCCGGAGAGGACUCUACACUCCAGCAAACAGCGGGAUUCAAAGGGGAAGGUGUGAAAGGAUCAUUCCAAGUCUCAAAGGAGAGGCUUCUUUCAAUAUCCUCAAAGUAGCGGAUCCCACCCACUCAAUUGUUCUCUACAUAAUCAUAUAAAAAGAUUCAGGAAGAGUUGUUUUUUAUUGUUGUUGUGUUUUUCCUCUGCUGAACAAUGCCCUUCCGCCACAGGGUCCCCUAACAGCCUACCAGUCUGCGCUCAGCGCACCUCCACCCCUCAUCCCACCCUUGCUAUCUCGCUUUCCUCAUCUGGCCCAGGCCCACUUCCACAUCUACAUCCCAUUGUCUGAGCGAAGGCAGCACGCGCAGGGCUGGGGCCAGUCCAAACAUACUCAUCUCUCUCACUGGAUGACUGCCAGUAUUCUUUGAAAACCGUAAACUUUGUUACUUUCCAAAUCCAUUUAACAGUUGUGUUUUAGUGAUGGAACAAAGAUUACAGUCUCUGUGCUUGCUCAAGAAGGGUGUAUGUCCUCACUCACAUUGUGUCUAUUAUGUGUGUACGAAUGUGUCAUGAUGUAUGUUGCAAUUCGGGCAUACACGUGUGUCCGAGAAACCAAAUCCCAAUCCAUCAUGCAAUCCCCAAGGUGGGCGAGCCGGUGUGUGUGUGUUUGUCACUGUCCCCUGUCAGGAAAGAGGCCUGGAGCGUGUUGUCCGGACGAACCCCCUUUGGCUGAGGAAGUGCUCCUCUAUAUUGGCCUCUUUGUGGCUCGCUAAUCGAGCUUUCCUGUCAGCAGGCUGCACAGUCCCAGUGCAGGGUGCACUACGUGAUACAGACCCACUCCGGUGCUCCAAGGGAAGUUCUGGGAUCAGCAGAUAACGGCUCAGCUCCCUCAUCUAACACGCAGAAUAGUGCUGCUUCUCUCAGCCUUUCUGUCCUUGCAUGAAUAAGGAAAACACCAAUUUUAACCAUUUGAAAAAUUCCAUUAUUCAGACCUCCUGACUGCCAGAGAGUUUUCUCUCUGGAAAACCCCAUUUUUUAAACAUUUUUUUUUUUUAUGUGUGUAAACUGUGCUCUUUUUCUAAAAAUGAACAAUCACAUGUAACUGGACAUGUUACCAAGCAAGCAAAGCUUGUAAAAUUAUAUCAGCUCAAAUAUACAUCACUGUAUAUUUAGCGUCACACUGUUCUGAAUGCCAGUUUUGUAAUUAAAACAGACUAUUAUCCCUCCCUCUUGUAUUUUGUACUCCUCAGUGGGCCAUCACAGAAACUGUAGCCCUCUUUUUAAACGUAAGCGGGCUUCAGUGCUAUCUGAGAUGAGUGGUCACUAAGGACUCAUGUUCUGGUAUUCAAAACCAAUUACGAAAUAAUAAUCUUUACGUGUCACUUCUAUUUAAAAUGUUCUGGUUAUUCAAGCAUUCACUGAUGUGUCAGGGGGAUUUUUCAAGGACGCUGUAGGAUAUAGCGACUAUCUCAGUGGUGACAUAACUGAAUAUCUGAUUCUCACAGGUGUCCUCGGCAGAAUAUAUUCACUUGGUUGGUGUAAUCAGAGUGUUCUAGGAUAACUGAUAAUAACUUUAGCAUACCACCCCUCAAAGAUGGCUGCAUAAAAAGGGAAUAUAAUAUGAAUAUAAAAUGCAAAAGUUAAUGAAUUAACAACACAUUGUUUUUCCAAUGCAAGUGUACCAUCACUUACCACCAGCAUUACUGUGCAGUAGCCACCAUGGUUUUAUGCUACAUUAGAGGAUUACCUCUCAGUUAAUGGUACUCCUGACAUGAAGGUUGGGGCUCCAGCAGAUGGUAUCAUAGUCUUUUCUUGCCAUCAAAUAACUACUGUUGUUAUCUUUUGAUAAGUCAAUACAAAAAAUAAAAAUAAAGCUGUAGCAGGCACAUAAUUUAUAUAAUAAUUGGUUACUAAAGUUACUUUAUGCUAAUUUGAUGUCACCUUUUGAUACAAAAACCCAUUAUGCCAAACCUAAGACCUUCCCCAGGUCAGAAGAUGCAUGUCAAUCCAGCUUUUCACAGUAAAGUAGCAGGGACACCCCAAUAUUGCAUCUACCAGAUGUAAAGGCCAAUGAUAACGAUUGUCUUGUGCUCACUGCUGGGCAACAUAGAUCUCCAAAGUGUGAGAUGUGGUUUCCAAUAUUUGAAAAUACAGGAAUUUCAAAUGCCUUUCUGAAGACGGUGAAUUAUUAUGACUUUUACUGGUGACAUUUUCCAGCGGCAUAUGGCAGCAAGCUCAUGGGAGAGCACAGCUUUUUGAUGAAUACUCUGAGUCUGAGCGACCAAAGGACAGUGCUGGGCAUAUGUUGCCUUCUGUCUUUGCCUUGUGAAAUGGUAAUGUGGUCUCACUUAUGCAGGAUUCUUAAGACACUGAACCUCCUUUUUUUAGCAGCAAAAAAUAUCAUAGGACAAAUAUAGAGGUAUACUGGCUACAUGUGUGUUUAUAAAAAUGUAUAUUUAUGUGUGUGUGUGUGUUGCCUGCUGUUCAACUGUGUUCUCCAUUAUUGUCAGAAUUUCCCAACUGCUGAUCACAGUGAAACUUUAUAGCUGAGUAAAACUGCACAGGGCAUGGGAAACAGAUGUGUUCAUACUUAUGUGUAUUGAUAUAUAUUGUAUAUUCUUUUGGACAGCUGAGGAUCUUUGACUACAGAUUAGUCCCACAGUCCAGCACCAUUCAUUUUAAAGUGAACUAUCUUAGUGUGAAAUUCAGUUCUCUUGUGCAUUUUGAAAUUGUUCAUAACAAAAAUGCCAAAGCAGGGUUGCAGUUGGAAAAAACUAGA